RNAcentral lists this unclassified non-coding RNA (277 nucleotides) under Hevea brasiliensis (rubber tree). The record is from RNAcentral. Lineage: Eukaryota; Viridiplantae; Streptophyta; Magnoliopsida; Malpighiales; Euphorbiaceae.
GAAAAAUUGAAAAAUUAUGCAUGUGAGGAGAGAUGAAAUUUCUGCCAGCCAUGGGAAUUAAGGGUGUUAAUGUGAUCCAUUUGAAUUAAACAUGAAAUUGAACUUAAAGGAACUUGUAUGUAUGAUUAUGGAAGUGAAUUUGACAUGAAUUAAGCAAUUGAAAAAUUAGGGUUCUUGGUAAUUAGGGUUUUAGUUAAAAAUUGGGGAUUUUUUAGAAUUGAUUACCAAUUGGUGUUUUGAUGAUUAAUUUUGGUCAUUUGGUGCACAUAUAAUUGCG